Molecule: ribosomal RNA, 396 nt
Filed under: uncultured bacterium
Lineage: Bacteria
Description: partial 16S ribosomal RNA
Rfam family: Bacterial small subunit ribosomal RNA
Source: RNAcentral
CCUACGGGAGGCAGCAGUGAGGAAUAUUGGUCAAUGGACGAGAGUCUGAACCAGCCAAGUCGCGUGAGGGAGGAAGGCACUGUGUGUUGUAAACUUCUUUUAUAAAGGAAUAAAACGAGGCACGUGUGCCUUUUUGCGUGUACUUUAUGAAAAAGGAUCGGCUAACUCCGUGCCAGCAGCCGCGGUAAUACGGAGGAUCCGAGCGUUAUCCGGAUUUAUUGGGUUUAAAGGGAGCGUAGGUGGGUUGUUAAGUCAGUUGUGAAAGUUUGCGGCUCAACCGUAAAAGUGCAAUUGAUACUGGCAGUCUUGAGUACAGUUGAGGUAGGCGGAAUUCGCGGUGUAGCGGUGAAAUGCUUAGAUAUCGCGCAGAACCCCGAUUGCGAAGGCAGCUUACUA